GUCUACGGCCAUGCCACCCUGAACAAGCCCGAUCUCGUCUGAUCUCAGAGGCUAAGCAGGGUCGGGCCUGGUUAGCGCUUGGAUGGGAGACCACCUAGGAAGAUCAGGUGCUAUAGGCG
This 119-nucleotide ribosomal RNA is filed under the name Pteropus alecto (black flying fox). The record is from RNAcentral. Lineage: Eukaryota; Metazoa; Chordata; Mammalia; Chiroptera; Pteropodidae.